UUUAAAAGAGGUUCUUAAUAAUUUUAUAUUUAUAUUUUAGUUCACUUUUAUUUUACAAUUAAAUUUCAUUGUUUAUGAUGUAAUCUAACCAUUAAUAAAACGACAUAAAUGAAAGAGGGUAUCACAUAAAGUUCUAAUAAAUACUUAUUUGAGAUCUGAUAUCUAAUUUUUUUCUCUAAUUUUUUAUUUUUUCUUAAUUUUUUAUUGUUGAGAUAUCCACAUAUGACUCAUAUUUAGAGACUAUACCUUUUCAUAUGAAGUAUGAAAAAGAGUAUUUUACACUAUAAAAAUGAAAAAUUUAAUAACGAAUUAGGAAAAAAAGAAGAAAAACAUAAGAUUCCCCAAGUUUUUUCAAAAUACUCAUCCUAAAACUUUUUUCUUUCUCAUUCUCUAUGUUUCUCUUCUUUAUUGUCUCAGAUCAGAAACAAGGAAAGCUUGAUAAUAUGAGCACAACAUAUGUUCAACUUUGUUUCUCAGAAGAUUCAAAAGGAGAUAGGCUGUAUAAUCCAAUGGCUAAAAAUAUUGUGGUGAGAAGAGAUGUAGUAUUUGAAGAAACAAAGGGAUAGGACUGUGAAGAAGAUCAAGAUCAUCAUGGUGCGGAUGAACUGACUUGGAAAGAUGAUGAUGUUUUUUAGGAAGAAAGUGAGAAAAAGGAUAACAACGUUGGUGGUGGUGAUGAGAUAGCAUAACGCCAUAACCUGUGGAAACUGUAGAAAGAGCUCAAAAUGAGCAGAAUGUGGAAGUCAUGGAGGGACGAGCACCACGAUAUCUUGUUGAGGAUGAAUAAAAGAAAAAGUGAAUGUUUUUGAAAUGAUUCAACUGAUCCAUCAAGCUUUGAAGAAGCUAAACAGUAUCAAAGUGGAGGGAAAGCAAUGAAGGAGGAAAUAAAUUUAAUCGUAAUGAAUGAGAUAUGGGAGCUUUUUUCCUCCCAUCUGAAGCUAAAUGCACUAGUGUAAAGUGGAUCUACAAGACAAAGUUGAAUCAGCAUGACGAGACAAUCAAGUAUAAAAAGAGGUUUGUAGCGAAGGGGUAUUCACAUGAACAUGGAAUAGAUUACACCGAGGUGUAUACUCGUGUUGCUCGCAUGGACACCAUCAUGACCAUCCUAGCCACAACAGCUCAGAAAGCUUGGGAGAUAUACCAGACUGACAUGGAAUCAGCCUUCCUCCAUGGUAUUCUUACUGAGGAUAUCUACAUACAACAACCAAAAAGGUAUGUAGUAGAAAGACAAUAAGACAAACAUAUAUAAACUUCACAAGGCACUAUAUGGCCUUAAACAAACUCCAAGGGCAUGCUUAGUCGCACUGAAGAGUACUUUUUUGGUAAGUUUCAUGAAGUACCAGAAUGAAGAAACCUUGUUUCUCAAGAUCAAAAAUCAAGGUAACAUCUUGAUUGCCAAUUUUGUCGAUUAUCUUAUUUAUACAGGGAUCCUCGUGUAUAACACCACCACAAGGCCUGAUCUGCAAUUCUAUGCAAAUUUGUUAAGCUGGUUCAUGUCAAAUCCUACAAAGAUACAUUUCCAGGCAGUAAAGAAGGUUUUGAGGUAUUUGAAAGGCACAACUUAUUUCGGUAUCUAGUACAACAAAGGAGGAAUGGGAGAAUUACUUUUCUAUAAUGAUAGUGAUUUCGCAGGGUAUGUUGAUAGUAGAAAGAGAGCUUUGGGGUAUGAAUUUCUUAUGGAUAAUGUUGUUGUAGCAUGGUGUUCAAAGAAGCAAGCAAUAGUCACAUUGUCCAUAACUGAAGCCGAAUAUAUGGCUUCCUCAAAUUGUGCUUGUCAAGCUAUUUGGUUCAAACGUGUCUUAAUGGAGCUAGGAUAUGAGGUAGAUGGAAUUAUUGUCAUUCUCUAUGAAAAUACAUCGACAUGUGUUGGAUUUCACUUUCUAUGAGACCUAGUUAGUGAUGGAGAAGUUAGUUUGGAGCAUUGUGGUUUAGAGAAACAAGUUGCAGACAUCUUUACAAACCACUAAAAGAAGAGUGUUCUAAAGGAUGAGGAGUAGGCUUGAGAUUUCCUCAGUUAGAGACAAAAUAAAACUUAUAAAAAAAGUUCAGUAAGGGUUUGUUGGAGCAAAUCAGCACGAAAAGAUAUGAGAAGGUGGAGUUACAAGUUUGAAUUAGUCUUUCAUGUUUUAGUAUGAUCAAAUAAUGACCGAGCUUCUCGGUCUAAGUUGUUUAAAUUAGUUGCAUCUAUUAAGAGUUUUUUUUUUCUUUUUUUUUGUUAUAAGGCUAUUUAAGAGCCAUGUCUUUCAUUGAAUAAGAACAUAGUUUCGUAAAGCAAUGAACAAUUAGUAAUUACAGUUUUGUCUCUUGUCUUCUUCUCUCUAAGUUUUCUUUUCUUUGUUUCAACCGGUAUUACAUUUUUCUUUUCUUGGUUCAAGUAGUGCGAACAUUCUCUAUGUUGUCUCAUUGUUUAUGUGGGUCUGGUGCAAUAACUGUUUCAUAACCUAUAAUCUAAAAUAUCUGCAAAAAGAAAUCUUUAAUUUUUAUGAAAAAUAUCCUAAAUACUAACUAAAAUAUGAUAUUUUAACAAUCUUCUCUUGACCCACAUAACCCAGAUUUGAUUCCAUGUUGCACCUGCUUUAUACUAUUUUUUUCUUAAAAUUAUUUUCGUUCUGGGCCAAAAACCAAUCUUUGACACCCCUUAAAUUUAGGGCUGGGUCCGCCACUGACCAUUAGAGAGGUUCAUAGAGUUACAGUUACAACAAAGAUGAAGUAAACCAGGGGAAAAACUCAUUUCCUGAAAGUUUAUCAAGUUCCUGUGAAUUGAUGUAGAUAUCAUUUGAAUUUUUUGAUUGGUUAAGGUGGUAUGCAACGGCGGAUAAUCUUUUCUUGCUUCUGCUGAUGAUUCUGCCGGAUUUGAAGGUGGGAAUGAUAAGACAUUUAAGAUCUAGGUCUGCUUUAGAUGCCUUGAUUCAGACAACAGCAAUAAUGAGGGAGAUUUCCUCCAUUUGAAUAUUGACCUGAGCAACAAGAACUCAGGAACAUUGAAGUCCAAGGUUUUGAUAAUUGUAAAAAAAAACAAAAACAGUAACUCAAACAACUUGGAAAUUUAGUUUCUACCACACUGACGUCAAAAAGAGGUUUUACUAGAACAAGCGAUUCUUCAA
This is a long non-coding RNA of Brassica napus (rape), 3104 nucleotides long. RefSeq lists it as uncharacterized. Lineage: Eukaryota; Viridiplantae; Streptophyta; Magnoliopsida; Brassicales; Brassicaceae. The record is from RefSeq and is a predicted model, not a curated record. The transcript is spliced from 2 exons.